RNAcentral lists this long non-coding RNA (2826 nucleotides) under Homo sapiens (human). RNAcentral's name for it is "HSALNT0006634". Lineage: Eukaryota; Metazoa; Chordata; Mammalia; Primates; Hominidae. The record is from RNAcentral.
UUUCAAGAGGAACUACAUUAAGCAAGUAUUUUCACAGCAGGUAGCUGUCCAAGGGAGAGAUUGCUGAAGCUUGGUGGCGGUGAUGGUUGUGCAUUGGCAGUGAAGGUCCAGAAGUUUCUCCAGUUCUUAAGAGAGAGGAAUCCCUGGCUCAAGAGAAUGGAGUCACUUGCCCAGGGUCAUCCAACUGAGCUGGUGCCCUUUGCACUCCCCAAGCUGCUUCUCUCUGGGUUUGGUAAAGGUUUUUUGUCUUUACGAGAAACAGAAGGAGGAACGUGCCGUGACGAGAGAAGGCUGAAUGUUUGCUGCCUCUGGAGGAAGUGAGAGCUGCUCAAAGGUGGUGACCACGGUAGAACAAAGGCAGUCAAGGGUGCAAGGAUAUUAGAAGCUGUGUUCUGUGAGCUUUCAUGAAGGCUGUGGAAGGAUCCAGGCAGGAUGGCCUCAAAUUAAGAUUUUAAUGACUCUUUGGUUUAGAAAACACACUCUUGCUGUUAACGCUAUCUUAUCAGGUAUCAUUUUUGAAUUCACAGAUGAAAGUUAAAAAAUUCAUAAUUAUACAAAUACUUGCCUUGUAUGUUUGCCUGUGUGUGUCUGUUAAGGAACAAAUGCAUAGUGCCUACAGGAAGUAAGGGCAAAAUAAUUUCAAGGACUGGGAGUUUCCGGAAUUACCUAUGGCAAAGGAAAUUGUGUGCUGCAUUUUGACAAGGUUAAAAGUAUCUACACCCAAAUAGUGACUCAAGGAGAGUAUGGGCGCCACAAGACCUUGUGAGUUUCAAACGUACAUUUAAAUGUUAUUCUUUGGGGGUUAAAAUGUUUUAUUUACAAAUGAACAAAGGUUGAUUGAUCUUGAUAAACAGGACCCCAGGUGAUCAAAAUUUCUGGCAGUAACCAUCAUUUGGUCAGUGUUUGAUCUUCGGUAAUAGAAGUAAGUAAAGUUUUGAUGUUGAUGGUGAUGAUGUGGGGUGGUUUUAGACACAAACACAUUUUUUUCACUCCUCCUAUCACGUUGACAAAAAUAACACUAAGUAAAUGCCGUCAGCUUUCUAUGACAUGCAAUUUUUCAACCAAGCAAAAUACAAUGUACCUAGGACCUCAAAGAAAUGUAAUAAUCUCAGUAUUCUUGUGAUUUGUUAGACGUUUUCCACAAACACCUACAGAAACUAUAUAUGUUUGCCUGGAGAUUUAAGGUAACAGGCUUAUAUUCGCAACAAGAUGAAUUUUUUAUUAGAUGUUAGGCAGACACAUUGUGCUGAUGCUAGAAAGUGUUUCUGAGAGAGUAUAUGCAGAAUGUCUUCUAUGGACAUUGUCAAGACCUAUUUAAAUACCUACAUCUAUUUGUAAAACUUUCUGCAUAGAUCUGUAGGAGGAGGCUAGUGAAUGAACUUUAUGAACUGGGAAGAUUCUACUAACUUUGGAUAUUCCAAAAUAAUGCAGCCGUCCAUUUAAAGUACACUAAAAUGGCACCUUUAAGGAGCAGGGGUGGUGAUGACUGGCAACUAUCAUAGGUUUGGCAGCAACAUUUUUAGACCUACAAACACGGUUGUAAAGCUGUGUUAUCCCUGUAGGAAACUGUUCUUUUGAAUGUCCAUUUUUUUUUUCUCCAGAAAAGAAACGUAGGGACUUGUCUUUAAGAUAAAACUAUAAUAAGAACCUUUAAGUUCAACUAUAUGAGGUUUAGCCUGACUUAGAAGUUUAAUAUUUAGCUUGGUUAAUUAAAUCUCAUUCUUUGCCCUGAAUUUAAUUAUUCCAACUAAUGUGGUAACUUAAUAUAAUAAUAAAAAAGAGGUUAAUUAGAAAUAGAAGAGAAUCUGACUAUUUGUUCAUCUGGCUCAGUGGGGGCAUUUCAUGAAGUGUCAGUUUAUGGAUGGCAAUGUUUUAUAGAGUAUAAAUUUUCAGUUAGUGAGGAAAUGAAAAUGAAAGACAGUAGAUAAUCAGUGAGUGAUUGUAUCAGGAAAUCACUAAAAAGCUAAUCUGUAAAGUUCAGGGCAUAUUUUAAUGUGACUUCAUGAUAAUGUAGGCAGUAUUUUUCUCCCUAGGUUGAGCUUAAAUCAUGUUCUUUAGACACAUUAUGAGUAAUUCCUUGUUUUGAGUUUCUAUUCAAAGGUAAGAAAGCCAAAUAUUUCCUACUUUUAAACAGAAAUGAGUGCUAAAAUAAAAAGAUGACCUUUCUUGCUUAGCUGUCACUUUCAAUACAAAUGGUCUGCUUUCUUAAUAUUUCUUAAUGCUCAAGUUCUGCGACCUUAAUGCUGAGGUGCUGUGCAGUGGAAUCAGACUUGGAUUCAAAUCCCAGCUGGAAAUUUGCUUAUGGUGUCAAGUUACUAUUCUUAUUGAGUCUCAGUCUUGUCAUCUGUGAAAUGAGGAUAAGGUUGUCUACACUCCUCGGGUUGCUGAGGAUAAAGUGAGAGAAUAUAGAGGAUACCAUACAGCCUGCCCGUUACAUAAUAGGUGCUCUGCAAAUGGUGGCUCCCUGUCCUCUGAACAAGUCACAAGCCUUCUUAUAAAUGAAUAACAGGUGCUAAUGUAUCAUAACACCAAAGGUAAGGCCAAGUGUUCUGGCUUAUGAACCAGGGCAGUGCUCCUUAAACUUGAAAGUACCAGUGAUUCAUUCACCUGGGGAUCUGGUUAAAUGCAGAUUCUACAUUUCUAACAAGCUCCCAGAUGAUGCUGAUACUGCUGGUUGGGGACCACCACACUUUUAAUAGCAUGGAACCAGAACAGUGACUUCUGAAUAUCGAGCUGACUUUAAGAGACUGGGCUAAGCUGUAAAAUAAAAUUUUACUCUGCCUUUUCUUUUCCCUGGUUUAAUGAUAAAAAUAUUGGGGAAAUCUG